UACGUAGGGUGCAAGCGUUGUCCGGAAUUAUUGGGCGUAAAGAGCUCGUAGGCGGUCUGUCACGUCGGCUGUGAAAACCCGAGGCUCAACCUCGGACCUGCAGUCGAUACGGGCAAACUAGAGUACUGCAGGGGAGACUGGAAUUCCUGGUGUAGCGGUGAAAUGCGCAGAUAUCAGGAGGAACACCGGUGGCGAAGGCGGUUCUCUGGGCCUUACCUGACGCUGAGGAGCGAAAGCGUGGGGAGCAAACAGG
RNAcentral lists this ribosomal RNA (253 nucleotides) under uncultured bacterium. RNAcentral describes it as "partial 16S ribosomal RNA". It matches the Rfam family "Bacterial small subunit ribosomal RNA", at positions 524 to 776 of the family's 1533-position model. The record is from RNAcentral.